CCUUUGUCAUCAUCUAUCGGUUAGAAGCAAGUCACAGGUCUUGCCCACACUCAGUGAGAGGGAUUACAUGAAUGUGUGACCACCAGGAGAUGGUAACAAUUGGGGUCAUGAGGGGAUAUGACUGCUACAAUCUCCCAUCAUCAAAAACAAAAACAGGAAUCUGGCUGCUCCUCCUUGCUGUCUUUUGCUCAUGAAGCUGCCUAAAGGGUGACUCAGCACUAUGCAACUUCCAGGUACCAACUAUGAGAUGCCAAAGUCCAUCCAAAGGAUGGACCCAAGGCUACUGGAUCUUAAGGUUUCAGACAAGUGUGUGAGACUUUGUACAUGAAGUUGGAGAAUGCCUCACUCUCUACCCUGUACAGGGUUGUGAUCCAGAGCUGGAUUUCAGACCCCUGUUUCUACAGGAACUCUAAACAAGCCCAGACACUCGGCUGGGAAGUGAGAGACUCAAAACAACGUGAGAAGUAGAAAGCGGGCAAGUUUGUUGGGGCCAUAUGUAACUUCAUGAAUAUCACUGUUUCAAGGACUAAGUUAUAAGUUUUACCCUUUUCAGAUAAGGAAAACAGAGUGUGAGUGGGGUUAGAAAGAGGAAAAACAGCAAGCCAAGUUGAAUCACUCAUCCUGAGAGGCAUUCAAAUACAGAGUUAUGGAGAAAGCGACUUUCCUCCACAAGGGUAAACCCCUCAACAGCAGCUGGUAAACCUCAGUCCACAGCGCAGAGUCAACCGUCAGCCAACUCAUAGCUGAAGCAGGGACACUGUGCAGCUCUUGGAGCUUGUUCUUAGUAUGUGUUCAGAGGGCUAAUACUCUGUCAAGCAGGGCGGAUGAUAGCCAGAGCAAACAGCCACGGUCCCCACGGUGGAAAAUAACGUUGCCAGAAAAUUCCGCACAUCUGGAAAGAACAGCAAUGAACAGGAACUUGUGCAUUCGUGCUAGGCUCCUACUGGGCCCGCUUCGUUUCAUUUCCUCCAUUUUUAUGACACUUUCCCAUGCUGCUACUCCAGACAUUCCAUCAAACACCUCGCCACGAACAAAUUGAAAGGGAAGGAAAUCUAAAGAAAGUCUGACUGAAUUUCUGAGUGUCUCAUCACUAGAAUGACCAGGAAAACCUGCCAGGAGUGUAGAUUCAGGCCCCUAAUCCCACUUCUCUGCAGUCUCCUCUUGGUCUCUGUGUAUAAGCUCUCCUGCCUUUUUGCACCUCUAAUCCAUUGUCAGACAAACUGGCCUACUUGUGUUUGCCUCUGAGAGCCUGUCCACUUCCUCACGUUAGGAGAAAGAACACAAAGAAUCCUAGCUUUGAUUCAGUUUUCCAUACUUCAGCCAUCAGUCUACCAUCAAGCACAUUUUUUACUGGGCAAAUGAAAAGUCAUUGCUUUCAAUUUUUUUUUUUUUUUUUUAGACUGAAUCUCACCUGUCACCCAGGCUGGAGUGCAGUGGCACAAUCUCGGCUCACUGCAACCUCUGCCUCCCAGGUUCUAGCAAUUCUCCUGCCUCAGCCUCCCAAGUGGCUGGGAUUGCAGGUGCCCACCACCAUGUCCAGCUAAUUUUUUUGUAUUUUGAGUAGAGACGGGGUUUCACCAUGUUGACUAGGCUGGUUUUAAACUCCUGACCUCAAAUGAUCCACCCACCUCAGCCUCCCAAAGUACUAGGAUAAUAGGUGUGAGCCACAGCACCCCGCCAAUAUUUUUGUUUCUAAUAAAACAAGAACUAGUAGUGCACUCCGUCUAGAGCAAGAUAGUGUGGUGGGGACAGGGAGCAAGUAGGUAGGGGAUAAAUAGGUCAAGAACUGAAUUCACAAUUGAGGCUUUAAGCUUGAUAAGAAAUAAAGCAAGUUUGAAUCA
This 1841-nucleotide long non-coding RNA is filed under the name Homo sapiens (human). Its description in RNAcentral is "HSALNT0324360". Lineage: Eukaryota; Metazoa; Chordata; Mammalia; Primates; Hominidae. The record is from RNAcentral.